RNAcentral lists this ribosomal RNA (391 nucleotides) under Chrysophyceae sp. Its description in RNAcentral is "partial small subunit ribosomal RNA". It matches the Rfam family "Eukaryotic small subunit ribosomal RNA", at positions 582 to 975 of the family's 1831-position model. Lineage: Eukaryota; Chrysophyceae. The record is from RNAcentral.
AUUCCAGCUCCAAUAGCGUAUACUAAAGUUGUUGCAGUUAAAAAGCUCGUAGUUGGAUUUCUGUUUUUAAAAAUCGGUCGUAACCUCACGGUUUCUGUACCAGGUUUCUUAAAUGCAUCCUCAGGGUUCUGUUAUCUGGUAUUAAUUUAUCGGAUUUCUGGUCCUUGUCAUUUACUGUGAGCAAAAUAGAGUGUUCAAAGCAGGCUUAGGCCAUGAAUACAUUAGCAUGGAAUAAUAAGAUAGGACCUUGGUCUAUUUUGUUGGUUUACAUUCCAAGGUAAUGAUUAAUAGGGAUAGUUGGGGGUAUUCGUAUUCAAUUGUCAGAGGUGAAAUUCUUGGAUUUAUGGAAGACGAACUACUGCGAAAGCAUUUACCAAGGAUGUUUUCAUCG